This 460-nucleotide ribosomal RNA is filed under the name uncultured bacterium. Its description in RNAcentral is "partial 16S ribosomal RNA". It matches the Rfam family "Bacterial small subunit ribosomal RNA", at positions 338 to 795 of the family's 1533-position model. The record is from RNAcentral.
CCUACGGGAGGCAGCAGUGAGGAAUAUUGGUCAAUGGGCGUAAGCCUGAACCAGCCAAGUAGCGUGAAGGAUGACUGCCCUACGGGUUGUAAACUUCUUUUAUAAAGGAAUAAAGUGAGGCACGUGUGCCUUUUUGUAUUUACUUUAUGAAUAAGGAUCGGCUAACUCCGUGCCAGCCGCCGCGGUACUACGGAGGAUCCGAGCGUUCUCCGGAUUUAUUGGGUUUAAAGGGAGCGUAGAUGGGUUGUUAAGUCAGUUGUGAAAGUUGGCGGCUCAACCGUAAAAUUGCAAUUGAUACUGGCAGUCGUGAGUGCAGUUGAGGAAGGCGGAAUUCGAGGUGUAGCGGUGAAAUGCGUAGAUAUCACGAAGAACUCCGAUUGCGAAGGCAGCUUACUAAACUGCCACUGACAUUGAGGCUCGAAAGUGUGGGGAUCAAACAGGAUUAGAUACCCUAGUAGUC